CCGCAGCAUGUGGGAUCUUCCUGGCCCAGGGAUCGAACCCAUGUGCCCUGCAUUGGCAGGCAGAUUCUUAACUAAUGUGCCACCAGGAAAGUCCCUGAACAAAAACAUUUCAAUCUAAGGCAAGAUACAAUAGUUUCAAUUAAAAUGUCGGACAACUCAUUAUAAGGUUAUAAAACUUGGGUUAGUCAUGAACAACAUGUGGUAGGAAUUGGAGAGCCAGUCUCCCCCCUCACCCCCACCCUGCCCAGCCACUCCAGCCGUGUGUAUGUGGGCAAAUUAUUCAGAAUUUGGGUCACAACUUCCUCAUCUGAUGGAAUGGAAGACAUUCACAACCUCUCAGAGUCAGUAUAAGAAUAAAAGUGGAUCAUUGACAAGAAAGCUGUUUGCAAAAGAGCAAAUACCCAUUUCUGUCAUUCUACUGGGUGCUGAAGCCCUAGCCUGGAAUAGUCUGAGCCCCAUAUAUUUCCAUGACACUCCUGUGUUUCAACCCCAAUUCUCCCAGUCAUGACAGACAUUCCUUUAGGGUCCUUCUCCGUUUUCAGAAUCAUCCCUCACAAUCCCUUUAGGAAAUGGGAAAUGUUGACCGUGUUUCAACCCCAAUUCUCCCAGUCAUGGGAGACCCUCCAUUUAUAGCACAUCCAUGAAAAGACAAAGCUCAUUCAAAAUGGAGCACUUGUGGGACCUCCCUGGUGGCGCAGUGGUUAAGAAUCCGCCUGCCGGGGUACCUUGUCAUAGGUGGGGCUGGAUGGCCGUCUCCUUCGGCUUCCACUGUGGGCUCAGCGCGUUACUUGCACCGAAGGCCGAGCCGGCACCACGGUGGCUCCCAGCUUGCAGACAAAAGACAUCAAUCUCUUUCCUUAGUCGACCAGACCUUCCAAACCUGGCUCAUAAAAGGCUAAAAGGCAAAAGUCCAGGAAUUAUCUUCAUCCCUGGCUACAUUAAUAUGAAUGGUACAAAAGCAUUGGCGAUUGAGGAGUUUUGCAAAUCUCUAGGUCACGCCUGUAUAAGCUUUGAUUACUCAGGAGUUGGAAAUUCAGAUGGUAACUUAGAAGAAUGCACAGUGGGAAAAUGGAGAAAAGAUGUUCUUUCUAUAAUUGAUGACUUAGCUGAAGGACCACAGAUACUAGCUGGAUCUAGCCUUGGUGGAUGGCUUAUGCUUCACGCUGCAAUUGCACGGCCACAAAAGGUUGUUGCUCUUAUUGGCAUAGCGACAGCUGUGGAUGGCCUAGUGACACAGUUUAAUCAGCUUCCUGUUGAGGCAAAAAAGGAAAUAGAGAUGAAAGAUGUGUGGUCCAUGCCAUCAAAAUACAGUGAAGGAGGAGUUUAUCGCAUUCAGUACAGUGUCAUUAAAGAAGCAGAGCACCACUGCUUGUUACAUAGUCCUAUUCCUGUGAACUGCCCUAUAAGAUUGCUCCACGGCAUGAAGGAUGACAUUGUAUCAUGGCAUACGUCCAUGCAGGUUGCUGACCGAGUAGUCAGCACAGAUGUAGAUGUCUUCCUCCGAAAGAAUAGUGAUCACCGAAUGAAGGAAAAAGCGGACAUUCAACUUCUGGUUUACACUGUUGAUGACUUAAUUGAUAAGCUUUCAACUGUAGUUAACUAGAGUCAUAGUUUUAGUUGGAAUGUAAAGUAAUGGAUCCAGAAGAUGGAAGAGGGAUAACAGAUGAAGGACCCUGAUACUUAGGUUUUUUUCUCUUAUCUCUACCUUGUAAAUAUCAUGUGCGUAUUUAAUGAUGUAUUUGCACAAGUGAUUCAGAUUGUGAAGAAAGAGCCAGCUGCUGUUUGAAAAAUUUUCUCUUUCCUUCAAUCCUUGACUUUUUUCAUUAAAAUAUUUCCUAUUUUUUUAUUCAAGAGAUGUUUACCUUCUAAUGCUUGUGUAAACUGUGCCAGCUCUUACUUAGAAUUGCUAAUAAAACUUGAUUUUUUUGUUUUCUGUUUGGUAUCAUUGUAUAUGGAGAUUUGCAAAAUUAUUUCUGAUUUUAAAAUGCGGUUUACAAGAUAUAGGAAAAUGUUUAUUGAAAUAAAUCUAAAAUGACUAGAGAAAUGUCUGAAACAUAAUAAAGUUCA
Molecule: RNA transcript, 2067 nt
Organism: Aethalodelphis obliquidens (Pacific white-sided dolphin)
Lineage: Eukaryota; Metazoa; Chordata; Mammalia; Artiodactyla; Delphinidae
Gene name: mycophenolic acid acyl-glucuronide esterase, mitochondrial pseudogene
Exons: 1
Source: RefSeq, a predicted model, not a curated record